Molecule: ribosomal RNA, 501 nt
Filed under: Salmonella enterica
Lineage: Bacteria; Pseudomonadati; Pseudomonadota; Gammaproteobacteria; Enterobacterales; Enterobacteriaceae
Description: partial 23S ribosomal RNA
Rfam family: Bacterial large subunit ribosomal RNA
Source: RNAcentral
AAACAACCCAGACCGCCAGCUAAGGUCCCAAAGUCAUGGUUAAGUGGGAAACGAUGUGGGAAGGCCCAGACAGCCAGGAUGUUGGCUUAGAAGCAGCCAUCAUUUAAAGAAAGCGUAAUAGCUCACUGGUCGAGUCGGCCUGCGCGGAAGAUGUAACGGGGCUAAACCAUGCACCGAAGCUGCGGCAGCGACACUGUGUGUUGUUGGGUAGGGGAGCGUUCUGUAAGCCUGUGAAGGUGUGUCGUGAGGCAUGCUGGAGGUAUCAGAAGUGCGAAUGCUGACAUAAGUAACGAUAAAGCGGGUGAAAAGCCCGCUCGCCGGAAGACCAAGGGUUCCUGUCCAACGUUAAUCGGGGCAGGGUGAGUCGACCCCUAAGGCGAGGCCGAAAGGCGUAGUCGAUGGGAAACGGGUUAAUAUUCCCGUACUUGGUGUUACUGCGAAGGGGGGACGGAGAAGGCUAUGUUGGCCGGGCGACGGUUGUCCCGGUUUAAGCGUGUAGGG